AUACGGAGGGUGCAAGCGUUAUCCGGAAUCAUUGGGUUUAAAGGGUCCGUAGGCGGAUUAUUAAGUCAGAGGUGAAAUCCCACAGCUUAACUGUGGAACUGCCUUUGAUACUGGUAGUCUUGAGUUAUAUGGAAGUAGAUAGAAUGUGUAGUGUAGCGGUGAAAUGCAUAGAUAUUACACAGAAUACCGAUUGCGAAGGCAGUCUACGACGUAUAUACUGACGCUAAUGGACGAAAGCGUGGGGAGCGAACAGGAUUAGAUACCCUAGUAGUCC
Molecule: ribosomal RNA, 274 nt
Filed under: uncultured bacterium
Lineage: Bacteria
Description: partial 16S ribosomal RNA
Rfam family: Bacterial small subunit ribosomal RNA
Source: RNAcentral